Molecule: non-coding RNA, 91 nt
Filed under: Stenotrophomonas maltophilia
Lineage: Bacteria; Pseudomonadati; Pseudomonadota; Gammaproteobacteria; Lysobacterales; Lysobacteraceae
Also listed under: 5 other names
Source: RNAcentral
GGCUAUGGCGGGCGGAGCGUGGAGGCCUUGCGCCUGCCGGUCUUGUUCGUGAUCUCCCGGUUUUCGAGCCACGUCUCCGCCCGCCACCUUU